AACGAACGCUGGCGGCGUGGAUUAGGCAUGCAAGUCGAACGAGAAAGGGUUCGCAAGAACCCGAGUAAAGUGGCGAAAGGGUGAGUACUACCUAGGUAACCUACCCUGUUGACGGGGAUAACGACUGGAAACGGUCGCUAAUACCCGAUAAGACCGCGGGAUCGCAUGGUCCUGCGAGGAAACGGUAGCCUCUGCGCAAGCAAGCUUCCGCUACGGGAGGGGCCUCGGGCCUAUCAGCUAGUUGGUGGGGUAACGGCCCACCAAGGCGGGGACGGGU
This 277-nucleotide ribosomal RNA is filed under the name uncultured bacterium. RNAcentral describes it as "partial 16S ribosomal RNA". It matches the Rfam family "Bacterial small subunit ribosomal RNA", at positions 29 to 284 of the family's 1533-position model. The record is from RNAcentral.